This 500-nucleotide ribosomal RNA is filed under the name uncultured bacterium. Its description in RNAcentral is "partial 16S ribosomal RNA". It matches the Rfam family "Bacterial small subunit ribosomal RNA", at positions 29 to 523 of the family's 1533-position model. The record is from RNAcentral.
AUUGAACGCUGGCGGCAUGCCUUACACAUGCAAGUCGAACGGCAGCACGGGAGCAAUCCUGGUGGCGAGUGGCGAACGGGUGAGUAAUAUAUCGGAACGUGCCCAGUCGUGGGGGAUAACGCAGCGAAAGCUGUGCUAAUACCGCAUACGAUCUACGGAUGAAAGCGGGGGACCGCAAGACCUCGCGCGAUUGGAGCGGCCGAUAUCAGAUUAGCUAGGUGGUGGGGUAAAGGCCCACCAAGGCGACGAUCUGUAGCUGGUCUGAGAGGGCGACCAGCCACACUGGAACUGAGACACGGUCCAGACUCCUACGGGAGGCAGCAGUGGGGAAUUUUGGACAAUGGGCGCAAGCCUGAUCCAGCAAUGCCGCGUGCAGGAUGAAGGCCUUCGGGUUGUAAACUGCUUUUGUACGGAACGAAACGGCCCUUUCUAAUACAGGGGGCUAAUGACGGUACCGUAAGAAUAAGCACCGGCUAACUACGUGCCAGCAGCCGCAGUAA